RNAcentral lists this ribosomal RNA (484 nucleotides) under Rahnella sp. Z2NS-86. Its description in RNAcentral is "bacterial SSU rRNA". It matches the Rfam family "Bacterial small subunit ribosomal RNA", at positions 23 to 497 of the family's 1533-position model. Lineage: Bacteria; Pseudomonadati; Pseudomonadota; Gammaproteobacteria; Enterobacterales; Yersiniaceae. The record is from RNAcentral.
CUCAGAUUGAACGCUGCGGCAGGCCUAACACAUGCAAGUCGAGCGGCAGCGGGAAGUAGCUUGCUACUUUGCCGGCGAGCGGCGGACGGGUGAGUAAUGUCUGGGAAACUGCCUGAUGGAGGGGGAUAACUACUGGAAACGGUAGCUAAUACCGCAUGACCUCGCAAGAGCAAAGUGGGGGACCUUCGGGCCUCACGCCAUCGGAUGUGCCCAGAUGGGAUUAGCUAGUAGGUGAGGUAAUGGCUCACCUAGGCGACGAUCCCUAGCUGGUCUGAGAGGAUGACCAGCCACACUGGAACUGAGACACGGUCCAGACUCCUACGGGAGGCAGCAGUGGGGAAUAUUGCACAAUGGGCGCAAGCCUGAUGCAGCCAUGCCGCGUGUGUGAAGAAGGCCUUAGGGUUGUAAAGCACUUUCAGCGAGGAGGAAGGGUUCAGUGUUAAUAGCACUGUACAUUGACGUUACUCGCAGAAGAAGCACCGGC